This 110-nucleotide antisense RNA is filed under the name Lysobacter sp. A03. RNAcentral's name for it is "Xanthomonadaceae sRNA asX1". It matches the Rfam family "Xanthomonadaceae sRNA asX1". The record is from Rfam by way of RNAcentral. Lineage: Bacteria; Pseudomonadati; Pseudomonadota; Gammaproteobacteria; Lysobacterales; Lysobacteraceae.
CACCCAACGGGGCAGGCGCCAGGCGCCGGUCGGGAUUGGAACAGGGCCGACCAUGUGCCCGUCGGGGAAGCACCAGGGUCGAAUGUCGGGGGACAUUCGGCCCUUUUUUU